RNAcentral lists this long non-coding RNA (404 nucleotides) under Gouania willdenowi (blunt-snouted clingfish). RNAcentral describes it as "lncRNA (ENSGWIG00000024786.1)". The record is from RNAcentral. Lineage: Eukaryota; Metazoa; Chordata; Actinopteri; Blenniiformes; Gobiesocidae.
ACCUCCUCCUCCUCCACCACCCGCAGCAGCUCCAGCCGCGGCUUCACCACCUCACCGCUAAACGUAGGCAGCGGGCGGAGGAAUACCAACUCUCGGUGUUUACGGGCUUCAUUUGUUGUCGGUGGUGGCAAACACGGGCUCGCGUGCACGGGUUAGUUCCCCUCCGCGUGCGCCCGUCCGCAGACGUAGAGCGUGCUUUCCCCCCCUCACGCAGCGACUAGAGCGCUAUGGAGAGGAAGUGACACCACGCCAAGCCACGACUGAGCGCUUACGUCACAACUCCUCUCUCCUCAAGACAGCAAAAGAGGAAUGGAGUGCCAGUGUGCCCUGCACCAGUGAUUGGGGACAAAUGAUGGAGGAGAAGAAGGAUCUUGUGUUUAGUCCCUGAGCUCUCACCGAGUGGC